RNAcentral lists this ribosomal RNA (783 nucleotides) under Triticum aestivum (bread wheat). RNAcentral's name for it is "partial small subunit ribosomal RNA". Lineage: Eukaryota; Viridiplantae; Streptophyta; Magnoliopsida; Poales; Poaceae. The record is from RNAcentral.
AUGUGUCGUGCUCAUGCAGCUGCAGCGAAAAGACAAUGGGGUGAUGCUCACCUUCGCCGAGGAGAAGAUGCUCACCUUCUCGCCCCUCCCCCUACCGUGAUGUACGUGGAUGAAUCCGACGGCAACGAGGAUGACCUCGUAGGAUCCGGCCACGGUUGUGCGGAAUUUCACGGGGACGAAUCUACCCGGCUUCUCGUCCUAUCCGCCGCCGGUAGAGGCAUCCAUGUCCUUGGGGUUGGGUGCGACAACUCGCGACUCGAAGACAUUUCGUGCAUGUGCUCCCCUGCGCUUGGUGACCAAUACAUCUACUCCGUCAUGAACAUGUGCUUCGUGUCAUACAGGUCGCCUCCAAGGGUUAUGUGCAUUAUUGAUCAGCCAAUCUUGAGAGAGAGAUGGGUUGGCGUGAAUGGGAAGAAAACUACAUUGAAUGGACAAGAAUUUCCAUCAGUUUCACUUUACAUUUCUUCUUUGCUUUUUCAAGGCAUCGGGAUGCCCACUGCCGACGGUGCUGCAUUGCUACCAAAGGGGCACCCUGCCGCGGCUGGGGACUCGCUGCCGUCGAAGCACGACACCUUGCCGUCACGUAUGUUGGGUGUUGUGGUGCUGCAGAUUUGGUAUUGUUGUUCUGUUCACUUAACCCAGUCUGUAGCAGCAGCUUUUCAUGUCGUCUCCUCGCCAACAAAUGUCAUAAUUUAUCACUCUAUGAAGAAUUGCAAGGAGGAGGAUAAUAGAGCAGCAACGAGAGCUGACAAUUGGCCUGUAAAUGCAGCAAAGUUCUCCUAG